GACAGCAUGGAUGGACCUGGAGAACAUUAUGCUAAGUGAAAUAGUUUCUUGACAUGAAAACCUAGAUCAACUUCAGCCUUUCUCUUAUGUGUGAAUUUAAGGGGCCAAGAUGAUUUUAGAGAUUCAGUUAUGCCUUAUGUUUU
Molossus molossus (Pallas's mastiff bat) is the source of this 143-nucleotide long non-coding RNA. RefSeq lists it as uncharacterized. The record is from RefSeq and is a predicted model, not a curated record. The transcript is spliced from 3 exons. Lineage: Eukaryota; Metazoa; Chordata; Mammalia; Chiroptera; Molossidae.